GUGGGGAAUAUUGGACAAUGGGCGCAAGCCUGAUCCAGCAAUGCCGCGUGUGUGAAGAAGGUCUUAGGAUUGUAAAGCACUUUCGGCGGGGACGAUGAUGACGGUACCCGCAGAAGAAGCCCCGGCUAACUUCGUGCCAGCAGCCGCGGUAAUACGAAGGGGGCUAGCGUUGCUCGGAAUGACUGGGCGUAAAGGGCGCGUAGGCGGACGGCAUAGUCAGACGUGAAAUUCCUGGGCUCAACCUGGGGACUGCGUUUGAUACGUGUUGUCUAGAGUUUGGAAGAGGGUCGUGGAAUUCCCAGUGUAGAGGUGAAAUUCGUAGAUAUUGGGAAGAACACCGGUGGCGAAGGCGGCGACCUGGUCCUUGACUGACGCUGAGGCGCGAAAGCGUGGGGAGCAAACAGG
RNAcentral lists this ribosomal RNA (405 nucleotides) under uncultured Acidiphilium sp. RNAcentral describes it as "bacterial SSU rRNA". It matches the Rfam family "Bacterial small subunit ribosomal RNA", at positions 354 to 776 of the family's 1533-position model. Lineage: Bacteria; Pseudomonadati; Pseudomonadota; Alphaproteobacteria; Acetobacterales; Acidocellaceae. The record is from RNAcentral.